RNAcentral lists this ribosomal RNA (406 nucleotides) under uncultured bacterium. RNAcentral's name for it is "partial 16S ribosomal RNA". It matches the Rfam family "Bacterial small subunit ribosomal RNA", at positions 30 to 526 of the family's 1533-position model. The record is from RNAcentral.
AUUGAACGCUGGCGGCAGGCCUAACACAUGCAAGUCGAACGAGUGGCGGACGUGUGAGUAAUGUCUGGGAAACUGCCUGAUGGAUGGGGAUAACUACUGGAACCGGUAGCUAAUACCGCAUACCAUUCGAUUAUCGCAGAUGGGAUUGGCUAGUUGGUAGGGUAACGGCUCACAAAGGCGACGAUCCCUAGCUGAUCUGAGAGGAUGACCAGCCACACUGGAACUGAGACACGGUCCAGACUCCUACGGGAGGCAGCAGUGGGGAAUAUUGCACAAUGGGCGAAAGCCUGAUGCAGCCAUGCCGCGUGAAUGAAGAAGGUCUUCGGGUUGUAAAGUACUUUCAGCGGGGAAGCGUUACCCGCUCAAAAAGCACCGGCUAACUACGUGCCAGCAGCCGCGGUAAUUC